This is a long non-coding RNA of Coregonus clupeaformis (lake whitefish), 267 nucleotides long. RefSeq lists it as uncharacterized. The record is from RefSeq and is a predicted model, not a curated record. Lineage: Eukaryota; Metazoa; Chordata; Actinopteri; Salmoniformes; Salmonidae. The transcript is spliced from 4 exons.
GGAAAUGGCCGAUGGCGGUCAUGAAGGGGCAGAAGGAGAUGCUGCAGAAUGAGCUUCUUUACACUGGAUCACUGUGACCUCCUCCUAGAUGCCAUAGCUUGCCCAGCUGAGCCGCCUGCAGGUGCAGAGCCAUAGCAAUGGGAUUGAGGGUAUCUCCAGAAAACAUGAUUGCAUCAAUACAGAGAAGAGCUCAGGAGGCCGGGUGUAACCUGCCGAUCGGGAGGAAGAGGAGCCAACCUCAUCACAGGCAUGGAGUGAGGAGAACUA